RNAcentral lists this ribosomal RNA (434 nucleotides) under uncultured Synechococcus sp. RNAcentral describes it as "bacterial SSU rRNA". It matches the Rfam family "Bacterial small subunit ribosomal RNA", at positions 370 to 795 of the family's 1533-position model. The record is from RNAcentral. Lineage: Bacteria; Bacillati; Cyanobacteriota; Cyanophyceae; Synechococcales; Synechococcaceae.
AAUGGGCGCAAGCCUGACGGAGCAACGCCGCGUGAGGGAUGAAGGCCUCUGGGCUGUAAACCUCUUUUUUCAAGGAAGAAGAACUGACGGUACUUGAGGAAUAAGCCACGGCUAAUUCCGUGCCAGCAGCCGCGGUAAUACGGGAGUGGCAAGCGUUAUCCGGAAUUAUUGGGCGUAAAGCGUCCGCAGGCGGUCUUGAAAGUCUGUUGUUAAAGCGUGGAGCUCAACUCCAUUUCAGCAAUGGAAACUAGAAGACUAGAGUGUGGUAGGGGCAGAGGGAAUUCCCGGUGUAGCGGUGAAAUGCGUAGAUAUCGGGAAGAACACCAGUGGCGAAGGCGCUCUGCUGGGCCAUAACUGACGCUCAUGGACGAAAGCCAGGGGAGCGAAAGGGAUUAGAUACCCCCAGUAAUCAAAGAUUAGAUACCCCAGUAGUC